This 493-nucleotide ribosomal RNA is filed under the name uncultured bacterium. Its description in RNAcentral is "bacterial SSU rRNA". It matches the Rfam family "Bacterial small subunit ribosomal RNA", at positions 28 to 508 of the family's 1533-position model. The record is from RNAcentral.
GAUGAACGCUGGCGGCGUGCUUAACACAUGCAAGUGGAGCGACGAACCAGGGCUUGCCCUGGGGCAGAGCCGCGAACGGGUGAGUAACACGUGGGUAACGUGCCCCGAUGACUGGGACAACCCGGGGAAACCCGGGCUAAUACCGGAUAUGCCCCCUGACAUCUGUCAGGUGUGUAAAGGAAGCUUCGGCCUCCGCAUCGGGAUCGGCCCGCGGCGCAUUAGCUUGUUGGUGGGGUAAUGGCCUACCAAGGCAGCGAUGCGUAGCUGGUCUGAGAGGACGAUCAGCCACACUGGGACUGAGACACGGCCCAGACUCCUACGGGAGGCAGCAGUGGGGAAUCUUGCACAAUGCGCGAAAGCGUGAUGCAGCAACGCCGCGUGCGGGAAGACGGCCUUCGGGUUGUAAACCGCUUUCAGUUGGGACGAAGGUCGGCGCGUUAAUAGCGGGUCCGACUGACGGUACCUUCACAAGAAGCCCCGGCUAACUACGUGC